RNAcentral lists this long non-coding RNA (201 nucleotides) under Lathyrus oleraceus (garden pea). RNAcentral describes it as "Pisum sativum (pea) long non-coding RNA (PSAT_LNC036309)". Lineage: Eukaryota; Viridiplantae; Streptophyta; Magnoliopsida; Fabales; Fabaceae. The record is from RNAcentral.
UCAUACCGCCUGCGUUGAACUCUACCUCUGAAAACUGUCUCUGGUUGUUGCAUGAUGAAAGUAAUUAACUAAGUAGUUAGUAAUUAUCCUGUUUGUCAGUAUCCAAUAUGUCUUAGUUAGUUACUAAAAACAACAAGAGUGUCUGCAAAGAAUCAAGAAGGGGGGAGCAAACAAAAUAAAGAAGAAAAUUAAAGAAGAGAA